CGGCAGGCCUAACACAUGCAAGUCGAGCGCGCCUUCGGGUGAGCGGCGGACGGGUUAGUAACGCGUGGGAACGUGCCCUUCUCUACGGAAUAGCCUCUGGAAACGGAGAGUAAUACCGUAUACGCCCUUUGGGGGAAAGAUUUACCGGAGAAGGAUCGGCCCGCGUUAGAUUAGGUAGUUGGUGGGGUAACGGCCUACCAAGCCUACGAUCUAUAGCUGGUUUUAGAGGAUGAUCAGCAACACUGGGACUGAGACACGGCCCAGACUCCUACGGGAGGCAGCAGUGGGGAAUCUCAGACAAUGGGGGCAACCCUGAUCUAGCCAUGCCGCGUGAGUGAUGAAGGCCUUAGGGUCGUAAAGCUCUUUCGCCUGUGAUGAUAAUGACAGUAUCUGGUAAAGAAACCCCGGCUAACUCCGUGCCAGCAGCCGCGGUAAUACGGAGGGGGUUAGCGUUGUUCGGAAUUACUGGGCGUAAAGCGCACGUAGGCGGACUGGAAAGUUGGGGGUGAAAUCCCGGGGCUCAACCUCGGAACUGCCUCCAAAACUAUCAGUCUAGAGUUCGAGAGAGGUGAGUGGAAUUCCAAGUGUAGAGGUGAAAUUCGUAGAUAUUUGGAGGAACACCAGUGGCGAAGGCGGCUCACUGGCUCGAUACUGACGCUGAGGUGCGAAAGUGUGGGGAGCAAACAGGAUUAGAUACCCUGGUAGUCCACACCGUAAACGAUGAAUGCCAGUCGUCGGCAAGUAUACUUGUCGGUGACACACCUAACGGAUUAAGCAUUCCGCCUGGGGAGUACGGUCGCAAGAUUAAAACUCAAAGGAAUUGACGGGGGCCCGCACAAGCGGUGGAGCAUGUGGUUUAAUUCGAAGC
Molecule: ribosomal RNA, 868 nt
Filed under: uncultured marine bacterium
Lineage: Bacteria
Description: bacterial SSU rRNA
Rfam family: Bacterial small subunit ribosomal RNA
Source: RNAcentral